Molecule: long non-coding RNA, 1079 nt
Organism: Clupea harengus (Atlantic herring)
Lineage: Eukaryota; Metazoa; Chordata; Actinopteri; Clupeiformes; Clupeidae
Source: Ensembl
GAAUGUGAAACAAAUGAGUUAUGAUAAGGGGAGAGCACAAGCACACUCCCUUACCUGUCUGCAUACCAACGAGGACUCUGUGACAACGUUGAUGGAUUUGCCCACAAUUUCUGUGGAAACUUGCUCACGGACCUCCCUCCCAACCCCCCCCAAGCCUAUCUCACUCACUCACUGACUGACUCCGGAAGAGAUGGGCUUUGAUACAUCUCGUGUCGACUUUGGAUCAAGGUUACGUGCACUCUUCUCAAUGCUGUGGAGUGGAGGAUCAAAGUAUGGAAGCACAAUAGGUAAGCAUGUCAUAUAUCAUGUAAAUUAGGCCUCUCCACCAAAGUGCCAUCUACCCUUUGAGAUGAAAGAGAUUGUUCUGUAUUUUUUCCCCCUCUCCAUUGCCAUUAUGUCCAAACACAAACACAACGAGUACAUCGGACUGCCCUACUAUUAUUGUGAGUACUGCUGGAUAUCUUAUUUCCUCUGUCUGCUCUGCCAUUAUUGUGCAUAUCGCCGAGUGGCUGCUUUUUACUGCCAACAGAACACACACUGGAAAAGCUGCAUUUGUAAGUGAUUCUUCAAACUGCCUCAAAUCAACAGAUUUGUUGGCAAAGUUACUCCCCGUGAGAGAGUCCAACAGGACCCUGGUGCCCACCUUUAACUGCCAUUCUUUUAUUUCCAUUGGCUUGCAUGUAAUUGUGUUACGGGGAAAGGGGGGCCCUUUGUUGUCCUAAUGCCAGGAAGUCAUCACCAUUGACCUUGAAGAGCAUCCUGGGGUCUGCCUAAUUGAGUCCCCUGCAAAACCAUUUGGAAGCUAAUGACAGCCAAGAGCGAACAAGGGUCCAUCGGAAAGAUCACGUCAAAAUCAAAAGUAAAACAGAUCCUAAAAACUGGAUGAUGAUGGAAAUCUGUUUCAUUGUGGGGAAAGCCAGCCAUGGUGCUGCUACUGGCCUGGAUCCUCAGGUAAUUACAUCCACUGUUCACUCAGCCACGCUCAGCCAAGGAAGGAAUAGCGACAAUGGCGGCACCUUCUAUCCCAUAAUUACCUUUAAUAACAGGCUGUUUAUUAUUCAAGCUCAUCUGGCAAUUAG